This 254-nucleotide ribosomal RNA is filed under the name uncultured bacterium. Its description in RNAcentral is "partial 16S ribosomal RNA". It matches the Rfam family "Bacterial small subunit ribosomal RNA", at positions 524 to 776 of the family's 1533-position model. The record is from RNAcentral.
UACGUAGGAUCCGAGCGUUAUCCGGAUUUACUGGGCGUAAAGAGUUGCGUAGGUGGCAGAGUAAGUUAGUAGUGAAGUCGUGUGGCUCAACCAUGCUCACAUUACUAAAACUGCUCAGCUUGAAGAUGAGAGAGGUCACUGGAAUUCCAAGUGUAGGAGUGAAAUCCGUAGAUAUUUGGAGGAACACCGAUGGCGUAGGCAGGUGACUGGCUCAUUCUUGACACUAAGGCACGAAAGCGUGGGGAGCAAACGGG